RNAcentral lists this ribosomal RNA (850 nucleotides) under uncultured Planctomycetota bacterium. RNAcentral's name for it is "bacterial SSU rRNA". It matches the Rfam family "Bacterial small subunit ribosomal RNA", at positions 9 to 863 of the family's 1533-position model. Lineage: Bacteria; Pseudomonadati; Planctomycetota. The record is from RNAcentral.
GAGUUUGAUCCUGGCUCAGAAUGAACGUUGGCGGCAUGGAUUAGGCAUGCAAGUCGAGCGAGAAGGAAAUCAAAGUUUACUUUGGUUUCCGGAAAGCGGCGCAAGGGAGAGUAACGCGUAGUUAUCUACCCCAAGGCCCGGAAUAGCUGCGGGAAACUGCAGGUAAUGCCGGAUAAUAUCCCCGGAUCAAAGGUGUGAUUCCGCCUUGGGAGGAGACUGCGUUGUACUAGCUUGUUGGUAGGGUAAUGGCCUACCAAGGCUACGAUGCAUAGCGGGCGUGAGAGCGUGGCCCGUCUCACUGGGACUGAAACACUGCCCAGACACCUACGGGUGGCUGCAGUCGAGAAUCUUCGGCAAUGGGCGAAAGCCUGACCGAGCAAUGCCGCGUGCGGGAUGAAGGCCCUCGGGUUGUAAACCGCUGUCGUAGGGGAGAAAGGUCUCAUGAAGAAUGAGAUUUGAUCUAUCCUAGGAGGAAGUCCGGGCUAAGUUCGUGCCAGCAGCCGCGGUAACACGAACCGGACAAACGUUAUUCGGAAUUAUUGGGCUUAAAGGGUGCGUAGGCGGUGCGGUAAGUGCGGUGUGAAAUCCCUCGGCUCAACCGAGGAAUUGCGCUGCAUACUGCCGUGCUGGAGGGAGACAGAGGUAAGCGGAACUGAUGGUGGAGCGGUGAAAUGCGUUGAUAUCAUCAGGAACACCGGUGGCGAAAGCGGCUUACUGGGUCUCUUCUGACGCUGAGGCACGAAAGCUAGGGUAGCGAACGGGAUUAGAUACCCCGGUAGUCCUAGCCGUAAACGAUGAGCACUUGAUUGAGGGCCCCCCCAUAGGCUCUCGAUCGCAGCGAAAGUGUUAA